Long non-coding RNA from Jaculus jaculus (lesser Egyptian jerboa), 276 nucleotides. RefSeq lists it as uncharacterized. The record is from RefSeq and is a predicted model, not a curated record. NCBI's taxonomy places the organism in Eukaryota, Metazoa, Chordata, Mammalia, Rodentia, Dipodidae. The transcript is spliced from 3 exons.
GGCUUCUAGCCUUUACAAACUCCAGAAGGAUGUGCCACUUUGUGAUCUGCCUUUAUAGAGAAGAAACUGUCGCCUUCAUCAGGCCUGAUGGGACAGGUAACAGAGGAGGCCCCUAUACGUGGAGGACUCCGCCUCUGGUGGCAGGAAGAGGAUGCAGAAGAGACAAGCAGAAAGUGAAGGUGAUAUCUGGAGUUCUAUGAGGCGAAGGUCUCAAGCUGGCCUGGAAUUUGUAGAGGACGACGACCUCCACCUCCGCCUCCAGGUGCUCGGAUUGUC